GCUGAAGUAGCUUAGUUGGGAGAUCGUUCAACUGGAAGAUUCAAAGGUCCCUGGAUCCAUCCCGGGUUUCGGCA
Podarcis lilfordi (Lilford's wall lizard) is the source of this 74-nucleotide non-coding RNA. NCBI's taxonomy places the organism in Eukaryota, Metazoa, Chordata, Lepidosauria, Squamata, Lacertidae. The record is from the annotation of a GenBank genome assembly.